Molecule: ribosomal RNA, 253 nt
Filed under: uncultured bacterium
Lineage: Bacteria
Description: partial 16S ribosomal RNA
Rfam family: Bacterial small subunit ribosomal RNA
Source: RNAcentral
UACGGAGGGUGCAAACGUUGCUCGGAAUCAUUGGGCGUAAAGCGCACGUAGGCGGUCCGUUAAGUCGGGUGUGAAAUCCCUCGGCUCAACCGAGGAAGUGCAUUCGAAACUGGCGGACUUGAGUAUGGAAGAGGGUCGUGGAAUUCCCGGUGUAGAGGUGAAAUUCGUAGAUAUCGGGAGGAACACCAGUGGCGAAGGCGGCGAUCUGGGUGGAUACUGACGCUGAGGUGCGAAAGCGUGGGGAGCAAACAGG